RNAcentral lists this transfer RNA (84 nucleotides) under Nitrospira moscoviensis. RNAcentral describes it as "tRNA-Leu". It matches the Rfam family "tRNA". Rfam says of the family: Transfer RNA (tRNA) molecules are approximately 80 nucleotides in length. Their secondary structure includes four short double-helical elements and three loops (D, anti-codon, and T loops). RNAcentral also lists the same sequence under 34 other names. Lineage: Bacteria; Pseudomonadati; Nitrospirota; Nitrospiria; Nitrospirales; Nitrospiraceae. The record is from RNAcentral.
GCCGAAGUGGUGGAAUGGCAGACACGCACGUUUGAGGGGCGUGUGGCGCAAGCCGUGCGGGUUCAAGUCCCGCCUUCGGCACCA